CUCAGGACGAACGUUGGCGGUGCGCUUAAUGCAUGCAAGUCGAGGGAGAAGCAGACGUUCCGUAAGGUUCGACUGUGGAAACCGGCGAACGGGUGCGUAACACGUGAGAAACCUGCCCCCCAGAUCGGGAUAGCCCAGGGAAACUUGGAUUAAUACCGGAUACUCUCUUUGGAUCGCAUGAUCCGUUGAGGAAACAGUCCGCUGCUGGGGGAUGGUCUCGCGGCCUAUCAGCUUGUUGGUGAGGUAACGGCUCACCAAGGCUAAGACGGGUAGCUGGUCUGAGAGGACGAUCAGCCACACUGGAACUGAGACACGGUCCAGACUCCUACGGGAGGCAGCAGCAGGGAAUAUUGCACAAUGGGCGAAAGCCUGAUGCAGCGACACCGCGUGCGGGAUGACGGCCUUAGGGUUGUAAACCGCUUUCAGGAGGGAAGAAAAUGACGGUACCUCCAGAAGAAGCUCCGGCCAACUACGUGCCAGCAGCCGCGGUAAUACGUAGGGAGCAAACGUUGUCCGGAUUUAUUGGGCGUAAAGGGCUCGUAGGCGGUUCAGCAAGUUGGUCGUGAAAACCCGGAGCUCAACUCCGGGACGCCGAUCAAAACUGUUGUGACUAGAGUUCGGUAGAGGUGAGUGGAAUUCUCGGUGUAGCGGUGGAAUGCGCAGAUAUCGAGAGGAACACCAUUAGCGAAGGCGGCUCACUGGGCCGAUACUGACGCUGAGGAGCGAAAGCGUGGGGAGCAAACAGGAUUAGAUACCCUGGUAGUCCACGCCGUAAACGAUGAACACNAGGUGUAGCGGACNGANUCANGUCUGCNGCGCCGUAGCNAACGCANUAAGUGUUCCGCCUGGGGAGUACGGCCGCAAGGCNAAAACNCAAAGGAANNGACGGGGCCCCGCACAAGCGGCGGAGCANGCGGCNUAANUCGANGCAACCCGAAGAACC
This 943-nucleotide ribosomal RNA is filed under the name uncultured bacterium. RNAcentral's name for it is "bacterial SSU rRNA". It matches the Rfam family "Bacterial small subunit ribosomal RNA", at positions 23 to 970 of the family's 1533-position model. The record is from RNAcentral.